GAGUUUGAUCGUGGCUCAGAUUGAACGCUGGCGGCAUGCCUUACACAUGCAAGUCGAACGGCAGCACGGGAGCUUGCUCCUGGUGGCGAGUGGCGAACGGGUGAGUAAUGCAUCGGAACGUAUCCUGGAGUGGGGGAUAACGUAGCGAAAGUUACGCUAAUACCGCAUAUUCUGUGAGCAGGAAAGCGGGGGACCUUCGGGCCUCGCGCUCUUGGAGCGGCCGAUGUCGGAUUAGCUAGUUGGUGAGGUAAAGGCUCACCAAGGCGACGAUCCGUAGCAGGUCUGAGAGGAUGAUCUGCCACACUGGAACUGAGACACGGUUCAGACUCCUACGGGAGGCAGCAGUGGGGAAUUUUGGACAAUGGGGGCAACCCUGAUCCAGCCAUGCCGCGUGAGUGAAGAAGGCCUCGG
RNAcentral lists this ribosomal RNA (411 nucleotides) under bacterium enrichment culture clone ALO1_GLFRUDD03FVZ9L. RNAcentral describes it as "bacterial SSU rRNA". It matches the Rfam family "Bacterial small subunit ribosomal RNA", at positions 9 to 420 of the family's 1533-position model. The record is from RNAcentral.